GGGAAUGUAGCUCUACGGUGGAGCACUUGCCUAGCAUGCAAAAGGCUCUGGGUUCUACCCCCAGAGCUGCCA
Molecule: non-coding RNA, 72 nt
Organism: Cricetulus griseus (Chinese hamster)
Lineage: Eukaryota; Metazoa; Chordata; Mammalia; Rodentia; Cricetidae
Source: Rfam